RNAcentral lists this ribosomal RNA (745 nucleotides) under uncultured bacterium. Its description in RNAcentral is "bacterial SSU rRNA". It matches the Rfam family "Bacterial small subunit ribosomal RNA", at positions 33 to 773 of the family's 1533-position model. The record is from RNAcentral.
ACGCUGGCGGCAGGCCUAACACAUGCAAGUCGAGCGGUAGAGGGAAGCUUGCUUCUCUUGAGAGCGGCGGACGGGUGAGUAAUGCCUAGGAAUCUGCCUGGUAGUGGGGGAUAACGUCCGGAAACGGACGCUAAUACCGCAUGCGUCCUACGGGAGAAAGCAGGGGACCUUCGGGCCUUGCGCUAUCAGAUGAGCCUAGGUCGGAUUAGCUAGUUGGUGGGGUAAUGGCUCACCAAGGCGACGAUCCGUAACUGGUCUGAGAGGAUGAUCAGUCACACUGGAACUGAGACACGGUCCGGACUCCUACGGGAGGCAGCAGUGGGGAAUAUUGGACAAUGGGCGAAAGCCUGAUCCAGCCAUGCCGCGUGUGUGAAGAAGGUCUUCGGAUUGUAAAGCACUUUAAGUUGGGAGGAAGGGCAGCAAAUUAAUACUUUGCUGUUUUGACGUUACCGACAGAAUAAGCACCGGCUAACUCUUUGCCAGCAGCCGCGGUAAUACAGAGGGUGCAAGCGUUAAUCGGAAUUACUGGGCGUAAAGCGCGCGUAGGUGGUUCGUUAAGUUGGAUGUGAAAUCCCCGGGCUCAACCUGGGAACUGCAUUCAAAACUGACGAGCUAGAGUAUGGUAGAGGGUGGUGGAAUUUCCUGUGUAGCGGUGAAAUGCGUAGAUAUAGGAAGGAACACCAGUGGCGAAGGCGACCACCUGGACUGAUACUGACACUGAGGUGCGAAAGCGUGGGGAGCAAAC